AUGAACGCUGGCGGCGUGCUUAACACAUGCAAGUCGAACGAUUAAAGCUCACUUCGGUGAGUGUAUAGAGUGGCGAACGGGUGAGUAACACGUGGGAAACCUGCCCCUUUCUUCGGGAUAACUUCGGGAAACCGUUGCUAAUACCGGAUACUCCGGGAUGGUCGCAUGGCCGACCCGGGAAAGCUUUAUGUGGAAAGGGAUGGUCCCGCGGCCCAUUAGCUUAUUGGUGGGGUAAUGGCCUACCAAGGCAACGAUGGGUAGCCG
Molecule: ribosomal RNA, 264 nt
Filed under: uncultured bacterium
Lineage: Bacteria
Description: partial 16S ribosomal RNA
Rfam family: Bacterial small subunit ribosomal RNA
Source: RNAcentral